UGUUUACUAAAAACACAGGUCCGUGCGAAGCCGUAAGGCGAUGUAUACGGACUGACGCCUGCCCGGUGCUGGAACGUUAAGGGGACCGGUUAGCUUGGAUUCGUCCAGGCGAAGCUGAGAACUUAAGCGCCAGUAAACGGCGGUGGUAACUAUAACCAUCCUAAGGUAGCGAAAUUCCUUGUCGGGUAAGUUCCGACCUGCA
RNAcentral lists this ribosomal RNA (202 nucleotides) under Streptomyces mobaraensis. RNAcentral's name for it is "Bacterial large subunit ribosomal RNA". It matches the Rfam family "Bacterial large subunit ribosomal RNA", at positions 1801 to 1992 of the family's 2925-position model. Lineage: Bacteria; Bacillati; Actinomycetota; Actinomycetes; Kitasatosporales; Streptomycetaceae. The record is from Rfam by way of RNAcentral.